RNAcentral lists this ribosomal RNA (99 nucleotides) under uncultured bacterium. RNAcentral describes it as "partial 16S ribosomal RNA". It matches the Rfam family "Bacterial small subunit ribosomal RNA", at positions 1384 to 1482 of the family's 1533-position model. The record is from RNAcentral.
UACACACCGCCCGUCAUACCAUGGGAGUUGAUUGCACCAGAAGUAGGUAGCCUAACCGCAAGGGGGGCGCUUACCACGGUGUGGUCAAUGACUGGGGUG